This 86-nucleotide transfer RNA is filed under the name Methermicoccus shengliensis. RNAcentral describes it as "tRNA-Leu". It matches the Rfam family "tRNA". From Rfam's summary of the family: Transfer RNA (tRNA) molecules are approximately 80 nucleotides in length. Lineage: Archaea; Methanobacteriati; Methanobacteriota; Methanomicrobia; Methanosarcinales; Methermicoccaceae. The record is from RNAcentral.
GCAGGGGUAGCCAAGCGGUCAACGGCGGUAGACUCAAGAUCUACUCCCUUAGGGGUUCGUCGGUUCGAAUCCGGCCCCCUGCACCA